RNAcentral lists this ribosomal RNA (353 nucleotides) under uncultured bacterium. RNAcentral's name for it is "bacterial SSU rRNA". It matches the Rfam family "Bacterial small subunit ribosomal RNA", at positions 29 to 414 of the family's 1533-position model. The record is from RNAcentral.
AGCGAACGCUGGCGGCAGGCCUAACACAUGCAAGUCGAGCGCCCAGCAAUGGGAGCGGCAGACGGGAGAGUAACACGUGGGAACGUGCCUUUUGGUUCGGAAUAACUCAGGGAAACUUGAGCUAAUACCGGAUAAGCCCUUACGGGGAAAGAUUUAUUGCCAAAAGAGCGGCCCGCGUCCGAUUAGCUAGUUGGUGAGGUAAUGGCUCACCAAGGCGACGAUCGGUAGCUGGUCGAGAGGAUGACCAGCCUCAUUGGGACUGAGACACGGCCCAAACUCCUACGGAGGCAGCAGUGGGAAUAUUGGACAAUGGGCGCAAGCCUGAUCCAGCCAUGCCGCGUGAGUGAUGAAGG